Caenorhabditis elegans is the source of this 21-nucleotide non-coding RNA. NCBI's taxonomy places the organism in Eukaryota, Metazoa, Nematoda, Chromadorea, Rhabditida, Rhabditidae. The record is from Ensembl.
UUCAACGGCUGCCCCAUAAGA